GAUGAACGCUGGCGGCGUGCCUAAUACAUGCAAGUCGAGCGAACAGAUGAGGAGCUUGCUCCUCUGACGUUAGCGGCGGACGGGUGAGUAACACGUGGAUAACCUACCUAUAAGACUGGGAUAACUUCGGGAAACCGGAGCUAAUACCGGAUAAUAUAUUGAACCGCAUGGUUCAAUAGUGAAAGACGGUUUUGCUGUCACUUAUAGAUGGAUCCGCGCCGCAUUAGCUAGUUGGUAAGGUAACGGCUUACCAAGGCAACGAUGCGUAGCCGACCUGAGAGGGUGAUCGGCCACACUGGAACUGAGACACGGUCCAGACUCCUACGGGAGGCAGCAGUAGGGAAUCUUCCGCAAUGGGCGAAAGCUUGACGGAGCAACGCCGCGUGAGUGAUGAAGGUCUUCGGAUCGUAAAACUCUGUUAUUAGGGAAGAACAAAUGUGUAAGUAACUAUGCGCGUCUUGACGGUACCUAAUCAGAAAGCCACGGCUAACUACGUG
This 497-nucleotide ribosomal RNA is filed under the name uncultured bacterium. RNAcentral's name for it is "partial 16S ribosomal RNA". It matches the Rfam family "Bacterial small subunit ribosomal RNA", at positions 28 to 507 of the family's 1533-position model. The record is from RNAcentral.